CUCCGGUUGAUCCUGCCGGAGGUUACUGCUAUCGGUGUUCGCCUAAGCCAUGCGAGUCAUAUGUAGCAAUACAUGGCGUACUGCUCAGUAACACGUGGAUAACCUGCCCCUGGGUCCGGCAUAACCCCGGGAAACUGGGGAUAAUUCCGGAUAACGCACAUAUGCUGGAAUGCUUUAUGCGUCAAAUGGAUUCGUCUGCCCAAGGAUGGGUCUGCGGCCUAUCAGGUAGUAGUGGGUGUAAUGUACCUACUAGCCGACAACGGGUACGGGUUGUGAGAGCAAGAGCCCGGAGAUGGAUUCUGAGACAUGAAUCCAGGCCCUACGGGGCGCAGCAGGCGCGAAAACUUUACAAUGCGGGAAACCGUGAUAAGGGGACACCGAGUGUCAGCAUCAUAUGCUGGCUGUCCAGGUGUGUAAAAUACACCUGUUAGCAAGGGCCGGGCAAGACCGGUGCCAGCCGCCGCGGUAACACCGGCGGCCCGAGUGGUGAUCGUGAUUAUUGGGUCUAAAGGGUCCGUAGCCGGUUUGGUCAGUCCUCCGGGAAAUCUGAUAGCUCAACUAUUAGGCUAUCGGGGGAUACUGCCAGGCUUGGAACCGGGAGAGGUAAGAGGUACUACAGGGGUAGGAGUGAAAUCUUGUAAUCCCUGUGGGACCACCUGUGGCGAAGGCGUCUUACCAGAACGGGUUCGACGGUGAGGGACGAAAGCUGGGGGCACGAACCGGAUUAGAUACCCGGGUAGUYCCAGCCGUAAACGAUGCUCGCUAKGUGUCAGCMUGGCSCGACCGUGUUCUGG
This 794-nucleotide ribosomal RNA is filed under the name uncultured Methanosarcina sp. Its description in RNAcentral is "bacterial SSU rRNA". It matches the Rfam family "Archaeal small subunit ribosomal RNA", at positions 1 to 798 of the family's 1478-position model. Lineage: Archaea; Methanobacteriati; Methanobacteriota; Methanomicrobia; Methanosarcinales; Methanosarcinaceae. The record is from RNAcentral.